AGCUGGUCCGAAAGUAGUGUUUUCUCAGUUGGCUGUUCACAAUCAGUUACAGAUCAAACUUCUUGUUCUACUAUUUCCCCCCUUGACUAGUUGUUA
Molecule: unclassified non-coding RNA, 96 nt
Organism: Gorilla gorilla gorilla (western lowland gorilla)
Lineage: Eukaryota; Metazoa; Chordata; Mammalia; Primates; Hominidae
Rfam family: Y RNA
About the family: Y RNAs are components of the Ro ribonucleoprotein particle (Ro RNP), in association with Ro60 and La proteins.
Source: Ensembl